CGCGUAGGCGGAUCUGCAAGUCCGUAAGUGAAAUCCCGCCGCUCAACGGCGGGGCUGCUUGGGAAACGGCAGGUCUGGGGACCGGUAGAGGUCGGUAGAAUUCCCGGUGUAGCGGUGGAAUGCGUAGAGAUCGGGAAGAAUACCCGUGGCGAAGGCGGCCGACUGGGCCGGAUCCGACGCUGAUGCGCGAAAGCGUGGGGAGCAAAACA
This 209-nucleotide ribosomal RNA is filed under the name uncultured bacterium. RNAcentral describes it as "partial 16S ribosomal RNA". It matches the Rfam family "Bacterial small subunit ribosomal RNA", at positions 568 to 775 of the family's 1533-position model. The record is from RNAcentral.